This is a long non-coding RNA of Anthonomus grandis grandis, 518 nucleotides long. RefSeq lists it as uncharacterized. The record is from RefSeq and is a predicted model, not a curated record. NCBI's taxonomy places the organism in Eukaryota, Metazoa, Arthropoda, Insecta, Coleoptera, Curculionidae. The transcript is spliced from 3 exons.
CCAAUUAUAAACAUUUAUCUGGUGCAAGUCAAAGAAAAAAGAAAGGCGAGCUUGAAGAGAAAACUCGAAAACAUCCAAAAAUUUACAAAUUUUUAAAUUCAAGCAGUUCCUCUUUAACUAAUUUUGUUUCUGGUGAGAUUGCUACACCCUCUACGUCUACGAUUGUGAGUCAAUCUCCUAGUGGUGAAAAUAUUCCUGAACCUGAAAUUGAACUUAUGGCAAAUACCGAAAUUUCCGACCUAACUGAAUGCUCAACUAAUAAAGAUGAACUCAAAUCAGAGAUACUUAUCACUGAUGAACCAGAUAUUAAUGUAAAUUUUCCUACGGAGAAAGCUAAUUUUGGCGAAGCUUUAUCAAUCCAAGAGAAAAGAUUUAUUAUAGAUAACGAAUCUUGUCGUCCACGAGGACCAUUUCCCAAAGAUGCAAACAAUAGAAGUUUUUCUUCAUUUUAUUAUUCAGAAAUAUCUAAAUCUGGCAUUAAAAUAGAAAGAUGGUGGCUAUGUUAUUCACUGAAAGUA